ACCCAAAAAUUCACUCUGAACAUGCCUGAUCUUGUCUGACCUCAGAAGCUAAGCAGGGUCUGGCUUGGUUAGUACUUGGAUGGGAAACACUCAAAAGUUCAGAGAUCUUCUAGGUU
RNAcentral lists this ribosomal RNA (116 nucleotides) under Castor canadensis (American beaver). Lineage: Eukaryota; Metazoa; Chordata; Mammalia; Rodentia; Castoridae. The record is from RNAcentral.